GAACGAUGACCCGGAGCUUGCUCUGGUGAUUAGUGGCGAACGGGUGAGUAACACGUGAGUAACCUGCCCUCCACUCUGGGAUAAGCACUGGAAACGGUGUCUAAUACCGGAUACGAGCUUCCGCCGCAUGGUGAGGAGUUGGAAAGAAUUUUGGUGGGGGAUGGACUCGCGGCCUAUCAGGUAGUUGGUGAGGUAAUGGCUCACCAAGCCAACAACGGGUAGCCGGCCUGAGAGGGUGACCGGCCACACUGGGACUGAGACACGGCCCAGACUCCUACGGGAGGCAGCAGUGGGGAAUAUUGCACAAUGGGCGAAAGCCUGAUGCAGCAACGCCGCGUGAGGGACGACGGCCUUCGGGUUGUAAACCUCUUUUAGUAGGGAAGAAGCGAAAGUGACGGUACCUGCAAAAAAAGCACCGGCUUAACUACGUGCCAGCAGCCGCGGUUAAUACGUAGGGUGCAAGCGUUGUCCGGAAUUAUUGGGCGUUAAAGAGCUCGUAGGCGGUUUGGUCCCCGUCUGCUGUGAAUCCGGGAG
Molecule: ribosomal RNA, 534 nt
Filed under: uncultured bacterium
Lineage: Bacteria
Description: bacterial SSU rRNA
Rfam family: Bacterial small subunit ribosomal RNA
Source: RNAcentral